UACGUAGGGCGCAAGCGUUUGUCCGGAAUUAUUGGGCGUAAAGAGCUCGUAGGCGGUCUGUCGCGUCGGAUGUGAAAAUCCAGGGCUCAACCCUGGACCUGCAUUCGAUACGGGCAGACUAGAGUUCGGUAGGGGAGACUGGAAUUCCUGGUGUAGCGGUGGAAUGCGCAGAUAUCAGGAGGAACACCGGUGGCGAAGGCGGGUCUCUGGGCAGUAACUGACGCUGAGGAGCGAAAGCGUGGGGAGCGAACAGG
RNAcentral lists this ribosomal RNA (254 nucleotides) under uncultured bacterium. RNAcentral's name for it is "partial 16S ribosomal RNA". It matches the Rfam family "Bacterial small subunit ribosomal RNA", at positions 524 to 776 of the family's 1533-position model. The record is from RNAcentral.